This 1157-nucleotide long non-coding RNA is filed under the name Meleagris gallopavo (turkey). RNAcentral describes it as "lncRNA (ENSMGAG00000018550.1)". The record is from RNAcentral. Lineage: Eukaryota; Metazoa; Chordata; Aves; Galliformes; Phasianidae.
UGUGAAUUGGCGUUUGUUUUAAGCCAGACGAGAAAUACUGGAACGUGACAACAGUCAGUUAUGCUCAUGGCCAGCUCUAAGAACUGAGCUGAGAGCAUCCUGAAGUACAAGUUUCUGUAACCUGAGUUAAAGAGCUGAGCAGCAUAUCUGUGAGCUGGAACAAGGUGAACAGGGUAAAAAGAAGAUGCACAACACCAGUGUCAUUAGUUGAGCCUUGGCUUGGACACAUUCUAGAAUUCCUAUCAGAGGAAACCCAAAAAUAACAGUAUUGAUCACCAUCAUCUGUAUUUGGUUGGCUGGUUAGCUCUAGCAGAGAAAGAUGCAGGAGAGGGAUAGAAGAUAUUUCUGGUAAUACUGCCAGUGCUAAUGUUCUCGUUAGCUUAAUGGUAUAUAUGCCACUGGAGAGAAUUUUAGGAGUAUUUUGGAUGAAGGCUAUUCAGAAAUCUGCAUAAAAGCUACUGCAGUGAGAGUCUUACAAAGUUACUUGUAUUUAUAUACAUGUAACUCAGGCUUUCAGAGGAGGCCCUUGUCAAGUCUCAUAAUCUCCAUACGCUCCUAUUUUCACAGCUGUGAAUAAAGUGUUUCAGGAGAUAGGGGACAUUCUGAAAAAUGAUGACCGUGCCCAAAGAACCCUUCAUAUAAAGAGAUAUAACCAUCAGUGAGAUAAAAAUAAGGAUGAACUGCACAAAAGAGAAAACCAGUUGAUGAUUUUUACCCCACUGUGUAAGAAUACUUUAGCAAAAGGCUUCCUGGAGGAACACAAGAUUUUGCUGUAGAAUUAGCAUUAUUUGAAAAAUGCAUUUUUCACUUGGUUUUGAUUGGGAAAACUCUUUCACAUGGUGAAUAUGGUCACAGAAUGAUUGAAGAUUGCGGGAAAAGAGGAAAUACCAUGGCAGAAAGAAGGCAGCUGUUUGCAGAAAUGCGUAAGUACUUCCUAGAAAUUUCACUGCAUUAGACCAAGCCACUUGCAAUGCAAUGUCAGUAAAAUUUAUGUAACCUUUCCAUCUCAAGUAACUGAUACCUUUGUUUCACAAACAGUUUAAUAUUGUGAAAACAAAACUAUAGGAAAAUGGGCUGAUUUAACCAAAUAUCAGGAGAAAUUAAUUUCCUAUACUGGCUUUUGUAUUUUUUCUACAUUACACUAUAUUAUUUAAAUU